UCAGCAGACUUUGGGUGGGGCAGCGAGGAGGGACUGGCACCGGAGCUCCAGGGCUCCUUCCUCCUGGGGCGUUCAAGCCAGCAGCAAGCUUCAGCUCACUUCGAGGGCGCCGUCUGCCAGUUUGACCUGGUUCCUUCUGCACAGGCAGCUCACAACUACUGCAGGUACAUUAAGAAACAGUGCAGGGAAGCCGACACGUACAGGCCUAACCUCCCCCCUCUGCUGCCUAUCCUACCACGAGAGAGAAACAUCACAGCUACUGCUGCUACCCCUAAACGCGCCGGCCCGGUAACCGCCAGGAAAACCACGGGGUUCAGCCUCGCCAGGAGUGUCGCCGCCGCUGCCUCGGCUGUCAGACACGCGGCCUCCUCCCAAACGGUGAGGCCGAGCCACGGCACCGUUUCCACCCCGCUGCUGGGUACCGCCAUGCCGGUCACGGUCCAGCUCGGUUUGGUUUCCCCACCUCUCAAGACCAGGGCCGAAACCGUCACGGCCCCACUCAGGACAGCAGCGCCACCCACAAGACCACCGACCCCCAAGCCCACGACUUCUAAAACUACGAACCAGAAGCCCGUUAAGCCCACUUCCCCGAAGCCCACCCCUCAGAACAGCUCGAAAAAGGCAGUGACGGGAACAGACAAGCAGAAGAAGCCAACGGUUCCUGCUACAUCCAGCCCCAAACCCUCCAAGACACAGUCUGACUCUGUCCUCGUCAACCAAGGUGCCGUCACCAAGAAACCGCAGCCCACCACAGCCAAGAAGCCAUCUCCCAAACCCAAAGUCGCACCGUCCAAAGCCACUCCGUCCAAACCUAGCACCAGCCCCGUCAAGAUUGUCCCUUCAAAACCAACAAUAUCCAAAAUCACUCCCUCAAAGUCAACAAUCAACAAAACUGCGGCGUCUAAAACCCCCAAGCCAGUCUCUAAACCCAUUACCAAGCCAACCAAGCAGACCAGAACUACCAAGGCUCCAGUCACCGUGCGGCCGACCAAGCCUCCGUACAACCGGGUAACGCCGCCUGCUACCGACGGCUUCCUGAGCUGGGAGGUGCCGCCGACACAGUUCUCCCUGCUGGCUGGACCUGUGGGACAGAAAGGAGAAAUAGGCAUGCCGGGACUGCCGGGACCUCCAGGGAAGACGGGCCUGCCAGGCAAGAGGGGUGAUCGAGGUGCUCCUGGUCCUCAAGGAAACCCCGGCCGAUCUGGUCCACCCG
RNAcentral lists this long non-coding RNA (1213 nucleotides) under Salarias fasciatus (jewelled blenny). RNAcentral's name for it is "lncRNA (ENSSFAG00005016328.1)". The record is from RNAcentral. Lineage: Eukaryota; Metazoa; Chordata; Actinopteri; Blenniiformes; Blenniidae.